RNAcentral lists this long non-coding RNA (828 nucleotides) under Homo sapiens (human). Its description in RNAcentral is "non-protein coding lnc-WDR26-1:12". The record is from RNAcentral. Lineage: Eukaryota; Metazoa; Chordata; Mammalia; Primates; Hominidae.
AAACGCUGUAGCUCGCUCCACCUGCUGCUGCCGCUGCCGCCGCCGCCGCCGCCGCCUUUGCCACUGCGAGAACUGUAGCGGUGCGACCCGGGAUUCCCUCCUCUCGGCGCCCCACCCUCGACUCCUGUUCCGCUGAGCGCGCCCUCCCCGGCGGGCGGAGACUGCAGCGCCGGGGGCUGAGGAAAGCCAUCCGACCUUGGGACUAGGGAAACGUGGACUUGGUGGGCUAUUCUGCGCUGAAGAGGCAGCAACGAGGGCUCGGUGGUAUUGGUGUUGGUCCUAGUGGAAUUGUCAAGAGGAUGCUUUUGAAGUGGCCCAGCAUCUUGGAAGUUCACCAUGCUUGCUUUGCAAGAGAUUCCUGACGCUGCAGUGAAAGAGGUCCAGUCAUUCCAGAGAGAACUUCAGUUUCAGACAAGUCAUCAAAUCCAGAAAGCAAGGAAAAAUACCCUGAAAGACGACUGGCAAAUCUCGGUGAAAGAGUAGACGCACUUCAUGGAUUGGAGUGAAUCUUAGAGCACCUGGUACCUUGCACAGGACCUGAUGCCUGGAGGUACAGCAGCCAUCUUGUGACCAUAAGGAGGAAAUCAACGCAUUAAGAAGGGAAAAGCUAAGAAGAUACAGAGAGCAGGGACCACUGACAACAUGAUCAAGCCACUCUACCAGGCCUUAACUUCCUAUUCCCUGACUUCUUAUUGAAAGAGACAAUAAAACUUCUCAUUUGUUUUAACCCAUAGAAGUAAGGCAUUCUGUUACUUAUGGGUGAACACAAUUCUUAACUGAUGCCAUGGUUUAAUGGGAGUAGGGAUCCUGGUAUGACAGGAAAUUGAG